CCACUCCAUCUCCUCCCAACCCGACCCCCCACCCCCCAACCGCCGAAAAAAUCUUAUCACCUUCAGAAAGACGGUGGGAGAUUUACUUAUGGAGAAAGUUUAAAUGAGAAAUGAAAGGAAACUCGUGUGCGGAACUGAACGGAGAAAUAAGCUGAGUAUAUUUCUCUCUUAAAAUGAGCAAAAUAGAUCGAGGACCGCGCGGAUGGAAGCGAAAGUUGAAGCUUUGGAAACGAUGGAAGAAUUCAGCAAGGAAGGAGGUGGAGAAUAAUUGAAAGAAAGCAGACGUGUUUUGAAUUAGAGAGAGAAAAAAAAAACGGGAGCUACUCAAAAGUGAAAAUGUGACCGUGGUGAAAUGUGGCGCGGUUAAAAUCCAGCAAAGACGCGAGAGAAGUGAAGCACAUAUCGUGGGACUGAAGCUGCCGAUAUUCUGUUAAAUAGACACUGGGACCAUGUCACGUUUAUUUCAAUUCUCAACAACACAAAUUUCACUCGGGCAGCCAGAAUCAGGAAGGGAGCAGGCUGGCGCGUAUUCCCCGCGGUGUUACAGCAAGUUGCAAGAGGGCCAGAGAAGAGGAAAGGAAUGAAUUGCUUGGGGGGUGGGGGGAGAGAAACACCCCGGACUACAUAAAAGAUGAAGAACCUACCAUAAAACACGUACAAAGCACUGUUAAUUCCCAAGGUUACUCAUUGUGAUUUAAGAAUUCCGCCUUCAGACUGUUUCAAAUAAGAAGAACUUUCUGGAGUCUAUGUGGUCAUACACACGUUGAUGCAGGAGCCUUGUCUUUAUUGUGGUCGCUGUAUACUUCAUCCGCUUGUGCCAUUGCUGUUUGCCCACUGCUUUGCCUGAAAACACAAUAAAAGCAUCAACUCUU
Carcharodon carcharias (great white shark) is the source of this 872-nucleotide long non-coding RNA. RefSeq lists it as uncharacterized. The transcript has 3 exons. NCBI's taxonomy places the organism in Eukaryota, Metazoa, Chordata, Chondrichthyes, Lamniformes, Lamnidae. The record is from RefSeq and is a predicted model, not a curated record.